RNAcentral lists this transfer RNA (57 nucleotides) under Cyrtanaspis phalerata. Its description in RNAcentral is "tRNA-Ser". The record is from RNAcentral. Lineage: Eukaryota; Metazoa; Arthropoda; Insecta; Coleoptera; Scraptiidae.
GAAAUAUUUUAUAUUAAACUUCUAAUUUAAUUUUAAGCAUUUAUUGUUUAUAUUUCU